This is a non-coding RNA of Morus notabilis, 84 nucleotides long. The record is from Rfam. Lineage: Eukaryota; Viridiplantae; Streptophyta; Magnoliopsida; Rosales; Moraceae.
GCCUCUGAGGAUGACCAGUAAAUAAACUUUCGUUCUACUGAGAUAUCCCGUGUGGAAAUUUUUGGAGACCUGAACUGAAGAGGC